This 473-nucleotide ribosomal RNA is filed under the name uncultured bacterium. RNAcentral's name for it is "bacterial SSU rRNA". It matches the Rfam family "Bacterial small subunit ribosomal RNA", at positions 335 to 800 of the family's 1533-position model. The record is from RNAcentral.
ACUCCUACGGGAGGCAGCAGUGGGGAAUAUUGCACAAUGGGGGAAACCCUGAUGCAGCCAUGCCGCGUGUGUGAAGAAGGCCUUCGGGUUGUAAAGCACUUUCAGUAGGGAGGAAGGUAGUGUAGUUAACACCUGCAUUAUUUGACGUUACCUACAGAAGAAGCACCGGCUAACUCCGUGCCAGCAGCCGCGGUAAUACGGAGGGUGCGAGCGUUAAUCGGAAUUACUGGGCGUAAAGCGCAUGCAGGCGGCCUGUUAAGUCAGAUGUGAAAGCCCGGGGCUUAACCUCGGAAUUGCAUUUGAAACUGGCAGGCUAGAGUCUUGUAGAGGGGGGUAGAAUUUCAGGUGUAGCGGUGAAAUGCGUAGAGAUCUGAAGGAAUACCAGUGGCGAAGGCGGCCCCCUGGACAAAGACUGACGCUCAGAUGCGAAAGCUGGGGGAGCAAACAGGAUUAGAUACCCUGGUAGCAGAAGC